RNAcentral lists this ribosomal RNA (253 nucleotides) under uncultured bacterium. Its description in RNAcentral is "partial 16S ribosomal RNA". It matches the Rfam family "Bacterial small subunit ribosomal RNA", at positions 524 to 776 of the family's 1533-position model. The record is from RNAcentral.
UACGUAGGGUGCAAGCGUUAAUCGGAAUUACUGGGCGUAAAGCGUGCGCAGGCGGUUUUGUAAGUCUGUCGUGAGAUCCCCGGGCUUAACCUGGGAAUGGCGAUGGAGACUGCAAGGCUAGAGUUUGGCAGAGGGGGGUAGAAUUCCACGUGUAGCAGUGAAAUGCGUAGAGAUGUGGAGGAACACCGAUGGCGAAGGCAGCCCCCUGGGUCAAAACUGACGCUCAUGCACGAAAGCGUGGGGAGCAAACAGG